ACGCUUAUAAUCCAGUGGUAGGAUAUCAGCCUUCCAAGCUGAGUGCCCGGGUUCGAGUCCCGGUGGGCGUA
Molecule: transfer RNA, 71 nt
Filed under: Guillardia theta
Lineage: Eukaryota; Cryptophyceae; Pyrenomonadales; Geminigeraceae
Description: tRNA-Gly
Rfam family: tRNA
About the family: Transfer RNA (tRNA) molecules are approximately 80 nucleotides in length.
Source: RNAcentral